Molecule: small RNA, 87 nt
Filed under: Escherichia coli
Lineage: Bacteria; Pseudomonadati; Pseudomonadota; Gammaproteobacteria; Enterobacterales; Enterobacteriaceae
Also listed under: 1 other name
Description: partial RtT sRNA
Rfam family: RtT RNA
About the family: This family represents a bacterial cis-regulatory element known as RtT RNA. The exact function of RtT is unknown although it is thought that it may be involved in changing the cellular response in relation to amino acid starvation.
Source: RNAcentral
CGACUCGAGCGAAGCGAGAGAACGUUGCGCCAGCAACGGCCCGCAGGGCGAGCCACGAAGUGGCGAGUAAUCCUCUAUCACCGACCA